AAACCAUGAGUGGGGGGCACUUUAAAAUAAGAUUUUUAAAUCUCUCCCAACUCUCAUAAAAAUUUUCAUGUUCUUCUUGACAAAAAUCAGUAAUCUCCCUCCUUAGAGU
Small nucleolar RNA from Rhododendron vialii, 109 nucleotides. The record is from RefSeq and is a predicted model, not a curated record. Lineage: Eukaryota; Viridiplantae; Streptophyta; Magnoliopsida; Ericales; Ericaceae.